This 92-nucleotide transfer RNA is filed under the name Helianthus annuus (common sunflower). Its description in RNAcentral is "tRNA-Leu". The stretch from base 2 to 82 matches the Rfam family "tRNA". Rfam says of the family: Transfer RNA (tRNA) molecules are approximately 80 nucleotides in length. Their secondary structure includes four short double-helical elements and three loops (D, anti-codon, and T loops). The record is from RNAcentral. Lineage: Eukaryota; Viridiplantae; Streptophyta; Magnoliopsida; Asterales; Asteraceae.
UGUCGAGAUGGCCGAGUUGGUCUAAGGCGUCAGAUUAAGGUUCUGGUCCGAAAGGGCGUGGGUUCAAAUCCCACUCUCGACAAUAUUACUUC